RNAcentral lists this small nucleolar RNA (132 nucleotides) under Octodon degus (degu). RNAcentral's name for it is "Small nucleolar RNA SNORA42/SNORA80 family (ENSODEG00000024839.1)". Lineage: Eukaryota; Metazoa; Chordata; Mammalia; Rodentia; Octodontidae. The record is from RNAcentral.
GUACCUCAAAAAAAAUUAUAUGGGCAGGUCCACAUGGGCCUUCCAUAGUGUGCCAUGCGAGAGCAAAGUGCGCCUUGAACCAUUGCCGGGCCUCUGCUUUGGGCUGAGAGCACUGAAGGGGGCGAGACAGUG